GGAUACUUUUGCAUUCAAUCGCUACUACCCAAAAAUUGAAAACACCAAGAUCUUAACAAGAGUUAAAAACUUAAUAGAAGGAGCAUAUGGCUCUUGAAACUAGGUAUAAAAAAGAAAGGUUGUCUCCACUUGCAAUGAAUGCACCUAGGUGCAGGAGCAUACAGCUCUUAAAUGAGACCUAUGCGGCCUCAAUGCAAUGCAGAACCACAUAGAAAAAGGACCU
This 223-nucleotide unclassified non-coding RNA is filed under the name Hevea brasiliensis (rubber tree). Lineage: Eukaryota; Viridiplantae; Streptophyta; Magnoliopsida; Malpighiales; Euphorbiaceae. The record is from RNAcentral.